UACGGGGGGGGCAAGCGUUGUUCGGAAUUACUGGGCGUAAAGGGCGCGUAGGCGGCCUGCUAAGUCGGAUGUGAAAUCCCUCGGCUCAACCGAGGAACUGCAUCCGAUACUGGCGGGCUUGAAUCCGGGAGAGGGAUGUGGAAUUCCAGGUGUAGCGGUGAAAUGCGUAGAUAUCUGGAGGAACACCGGUGGCGAAGGCGGCGACCUGGUCCAUUACUGACGCUGAGGCGCGACAGCGUGGGGAGCAAACAGG
This 253-nucleotide ribosomal RNA is filed under the name uncultured bacterium. RNAcentral describes it as "partial 16S ribosomal RNA". It matches the Rfam family "Bacterial small subunit ribosomal RNA", at positions 524 to 776 of the family's 1533-position model. The record is from RNAcentral.